RNAcentral lists this small RNA (136 nucleotides) under bovine gut metagenome. Its description in RNAcentral is "Ribosomal protein L10 leader". It matches the Rfam family "Ribosomal protein L10 leader", at positions 13 to 133 of the family's 138-position model. Rfam says of the family: This family is a putative r-protein leader autoregulatory structure found in B. subtilis and other low-GC Gram-positive bacteria. The record is from RNAcentral.
UAAAGACCGAAGACAGCAGGUGCACGUAAGUGCUUAAAUAUGCCAGCCUAGGAAUUUAGAAUACUUAAUGAUUUAUCAUUAAUGAAUUUUGAAUUAUUACCCUCUGUCAAGGUUUUGACAGAGGGUUUUUUAUAUG